ACUGAGCUCCCCUAGGUCCCCCGAGACUGACUGGGGGCGGCCUCCUGGAGGCGACAAAGACCUCGCCAGCCCUCGCUUAGGUGAGCAUCCUGGUUGGGUGGGACUUUACAGAAAUUCCCAUCCUCACCAAGUCCCAUUCUGUCUUUCCAGGUCUUGGGUCUCCGAGGGUCUCCCGGGCUUCCAGCCCUGAGGGUCGCCACCUCCCUUCCCCACAGCUGGGAACCAAGGUAGGCUGUAGGUCCAUCCUGUAAUCCUUGCAUCUAACCAUCAGGGACCCCCACACUUCUGGGAAACAGCUAGGAGUAGAGCGUUCUAAGGCCAUACUCAGAGCAGAGAGAGCACUUCUUGUUAAGAGCCUUGAGAUUGAUUUUUGUCUCUGUCGCUUCUAAGCCGUGUGACUUUGGGUCAGUUAUUAAACCUCUCUGUGCCUCCAUUUUUUCUUCUCUAAAAUGGGGC
This 456-nucleotide small RNA is filed under the name Pongo abelii (Sumatran orangutan). RNAcentral describes it as "retained intron". Lineage: Eukaryota; Metazoa; Chordata; Mammalia; Primates; Hominidae. The record is from RNAcentral.